ACUCAAAUGAAUAGACGGGGACUUGCACAAGCAGUGGAUUAUGUGGUUUAAUUCGAUGGUAAACGAAGAACCUUACCAGGGUUAGAAAUCCAUACGAAAGCCCGAGGAAACUCGGGGCCUCGCAAGACGUAUGGACAGGUGAUGCAUGGCCGUCGUCAGUUCGUGGUUUGAAUUGUUCCCUUAAGUGGGGUAACGAACGCAACCCUCGUUGACUGUUACAAGUGUCAGUCGAGACCGCCCCGACCUGUGUGCACAAACUAUGUUUGUGCCCAGUGGUCGGGGAGGAAGGAGAGGAUGACGCCAGGUCAGCAUGUCCCUUUGAUAUCCUGGGCUACACACAUAAUACAAUGGCCGCUACAGAGCGCAGCGACGGGGCAACCCUGAGCUAAUCGUCAAAAGCGGCCCCAGUUCGGAUUGGAGUCUGCAACUCGACUCCAUGAAGUUGGAAUUGCUAGUAAUCACAGGUCAGCUAAACUGUGGUGAAUACGUUCUCAAGUCUUGUACACACCGCCCGU
Molecule: ribosomal RNA, 515 nt
Filed under: uncultured bacterium
Lineage: Bacteria
Description: partial 16S ribosomal RNA
Rfam family: Bacterial small subunit ribosomal RNA
Source: RNAcentral